Molecule: long non-coding RNA, 675 nt
Organism: Symphalangus syndactylus (siamang)
Lineage: Eukaryota; Metazoa; Chordata; Mammalia; Primates; Hylobatidae
Source: RefSeq, a predicted model, not a curated record
CUGAAGUCACAGGCCUGACUUCCAGACUAGGCUCUGCCCCUAAGGAAAUCACCUUUCUGGUCUUAGUCUCCCCAUCUGAAAAUGGCAUAAUCAACCUACCUGCCUCAAAUACAAGACCCUGCUUGUGAAGCGUCUCCUGGCUCAGACCAGUGCUAGAAGUGUCCAGUCUAGCAGCUCCUGGACCAAGACUCCGUGGCCAUUCCCUUCCUCCUCCCUUCCAUCCACCCCCUUACGGUCAGAGCUCCGAAGGCAACGUGGUGACGGGUGCGUGGAGGGGAGUGGGGGCAUCUCUCUGAGAUACUUCUGCCUUGGGGUCACUGGAUCAUUCAUUCGACAAACAUCCGCGAGCAAGCCAGGAACUAGGAGUCAUCCUUGCCACCUCCCUCUCCCUCGCUGCCCAUAUUAAAAUACACCUCCAUUUCCCGUCGAUUCUCUUUCCUAAAUAUCUUUCCAGUCCACCAUUCCUUCCGUUUGCCCCACCACCUCCCGCCUGGGCUCCUAAUGCAGUAGCCUUCUAUCUGGUUUUCUUGUACUCAUUCUGGCCCGGCUACACUCUAUUCCCUGCAUUGCAAGUCAGCUGUCAUUUCAGAACACAGGUCUGGUGUGCCCCCCUCGACCCCCCCGCCACGCGGCGUUGCCUAAAUUCCUCCACUGUUAGAAUAAAAUCUGGACGCU